This 117-nucleotide small nuclear RNA is filed under the name Microcebus murinus (gray mouse lemur). Its description in RNAcentral is "U5 spliceosomal RNA (ENSMICG00000046347.1)". It matches the Rfam family "U5 spliceosomal RNA". Rfam says of the family: U5 RNA is a component of both types of known spliceosome. Lineage: Eukaryota; Metazoa; Chordata; Mammalia; Primates; Cheirogaleidae. The record is from Rfam by way of RNAcentral.
AUACUUGGGUUUCUAUUCAGAAUGAACAAAUCUUUUGCCUUUUACUGAAGAUUUCCAUGGAGAGAAGCAGUUAUGAGUUGGUAACCAAAUUUUUUGAGGUCUUGCUCAGGCAAAGCU